CACCUCCGCCUUUACCACGGAUCGUCCGGCACGUACCUGCCGGUGAAGGAGAAGAGA
This is a non-coding RNA of Streptomyces sp. NRRL F-6602, 57 nucleotides long. The record is from Rfam. Lineage: Bacteria; Bacillati; Actinomycetota; Actinomycetes; Kitasatosporales; Streptomycetaceae.